Populus trichocarpa (black cottonwood) is the source of this 78-nucleotide non-coding RNA. The record is from Rfam. Lineage: Eukaryota; Viridiplantae; Streptophyta; Magnoliopsida; Malpighiales; Salicaceae.
UCAAUUUGAAUUGUUGAAUGCUCAGUCUCUUAUUUGUUUUUUUUACGAUUUAGAUUCACGAGUAGGAAGAUCUGAAGC